GCUCUCAGAGAAGCUUCCAGUGGAACCAAAGGAAUACAGAUGGAGGGCCUGGGGAGAGAUGGCCUGAGGGGACCUGCAGAAGGGAUUUACCUGCUGCCCCUCCCCCAGGGGAGCCAGGAGACUGAGCUGGGCUGUAAACACUCCGUGCCUGGUGCAGCCUGGUCUGCACAGGCUGAGAGGAUGCUCUACUUCUAAACCCCAUAAGGAAAAGGCCCAGGAGGGACGGGGAUGUUGCUGCUGAUAGCUAAAAAUGAUCAAAUUCUUACCAUAUGCCAGACCUUAUGCUGGACAAUUCACUGACAUUAUCCCACGUAGUAGGCAGAAUUCUAACGUGACCCCCAAGAUUCUCCACCUUCUGUGUAAUCCCCAGGAUUGUGAAUGUGAUGGAUUUCAUUCUGGUAAACAGGUUUUGUUAUAUGGCACAGAUGACUUUAAGACAGGGAGGCUUUAAAUCUGUGACUAGCAGAAGACAUAUGGAAGGCAGAGAUUCAAAAUAUAAGAGGGAUCUGACGCACCACUACUGGCUUGAAAAUGGAGGGGACCACAUGGCAGAGGACGCACGCAGCCUCUAGUUGCUGAGGGUGGUCUCCAGUUGACAGCGGCAAGGUAACAGGGGCCUCAGUCCUACAACCACAAGGAACUGAACUCUGCCAACAUACUGAAAGAGCUUGAAGGAGGAGCAUAAGCCUCAGGGGUGAGAUCAUAGACCCAGACAAAGCCUUGAUUUUAGUUGCCUAAAACCCCGAACUGAGAACCCAGGCAUCUUGAGUGGGACUCCUAACCCACAGAAACUGUGAGAUUAAUAAUUAGUGGCGUUUUAAAAGGGUUAACUUAUGAUAUUUUUAAAAUUAGCAACACAGAAAAUCAUACACCCCAUGUGAUACCCAUCAUAACCCUCUCAAGUAGGCUUCACCAUUUUAUAGACAAGGAAACAAAGACCCAGGGAAAUUAGGAAUUUGCCCAAAGUCACAUAGCCUGUGAGUGGCAGAGACAGGUUUAAACCCAGCUAUGUCUUGACUUUAUGGUCAGUGCUCUUCAUUGCCUCAUGCAUUUCCUCUCUGUAUGAGAAGAGAGCCUCAGACACAUGGUGAAAAGAGUAUGGAACUGUUUCUGUCUGCCUGGGUGUGGAUGUGCAGAAGGGUCAGAGGACCUAUGCUUUUGUUUUGGUUUUAAAUGGUGAAAAGACAUAUACAUAGAAUCAACUAGCUGGAUUCAGUUUAGAUGAUCCCAAUAUGCCUUCUUCUCUCCAUCAGGCCUGAUCAGGGUGUUGGCUUUGGCCACAGCAGUGUCACUGAGCUUCUUCACAGCCUGUUUGAUCUGGUGCUUGUUGGCUUUGACAUCCACAAUGGACACAAGUUGUGUUGUUGUCUUCUAUCUUCUUCAUGGCUGACUCAGUGGUUGGGGGAACCUGAUGAUGAAUUAUUGGUCAAGCUUGUUUCUCCUGGGAGUGCUCUUCCAAGCAUAUUUCUGCUGCCUGCAGAGCCACACUGUCUUGGGCCACUGGCAGGUGGGUGAUGUGUGGAUUGGAUCUUCUUUUUGUGGCUGUGGACACCUUUAAGCACUGCCUUCCUGGCCUUCAAAGCAUUCGCUUUGGCUUCAGCUUUGGGAGGGGCAAGAACUUUUUUCACUUUUGGUGCCAUAAUGUGAAAAUGAGGACCUAUGUUGAGCCCUCACUCCUCUAGAAGCCAGCUGUGUGCCCUCGGCAAAGUCAAUUAAUCACUCUGAGCCUCAGUUUUUAUAAUCUGUAUGAGGCCUACUAAGAAUUUCUGCAUUAUAACCCUUGAAGGGCUGCAGCUGAUGAUCCCAUAAAAGUGUGUGAGGGGCCACUGUGAAUGAAGUCCACAGGGCAGACAGAGGCACCUGGAUGUCAUGUAGAUAUCAUUUUCUUUUCUUGAUGACUGCCAAUUUCAAUGUCCUCUGCCUAUAGGCUGGAUAUGGUCACUCUGAUGGCUUAUUUGGAGGAAGUAAUUUUAAAUAGGUUUUUUUUUUAGAGGAAAUGAUUAUUUAUUACAUUUAUUGAAAAACUACAGAAUAAGAUGGAAGGUAAUUUUUCUUUUUUUCUUGAAUUCUUUAAAAGUUAGUUGACUAUUAAAAGCCAAAGUAAUAACAA
RNAcentral lists this long non-coding RNA (2110 nucleotides) under Homo sapiens (human). RNAcentral's name for it is "non-protein coding lnc-RBKS-87:1". Lineage: Eukaryota; Metazoa; Chordata; Mammalia; Primates; Hominidae. The record is from RNAcentral.